UACGAAGGGGGCUAGCGUUGCUCGGAAUCACUGGGCGUAAAGGGUGCGUAGGCGGGUCUUUAAGUCGGGGGUGAAAUCCUGGAGCUCAACUCCAGAACUGCCUUUGAUACUGAAGAUCUUGAGUUCGGGAGAGGUGAGUGGAACUGCGAGUGUAGAGGUGAAAUUCGUAGAUAUUCGGAAGAACACCAGUGGCGAAGGCGGCUCACUGGCCCGAUACUGACGCUGAGGCACGAAAGCGUGGGGAGCAAACAGG
This 253-nucleotide ribosomal RNA is filed under the name uncultured bacterium. RNAcentral's name for it is "partial 16S ribosomal RNA". It matches the Rfam family "Bacterial small subunit ribosomal RNA", at positions 524 to 776 of the family's 1533-position model. The record is from RNAcentral.